AUAAAGUAUAUGUAUUCUUGAUCAGGAUCAAUAGCCGAAUCGAUCUGGCCAUGUCUGUGGGCGUGUCAAUUUAUUGGCUGUUUGUGGGCGUGGCGAAAAAAUGUUCGAUUCGAUAGAUUUGUAUGUCUAAUAAAAAAAUUAUAAAAUAACAUAGUUUUGGGCGGUAAAGUGAGCGUGACAACCAUCGUUACUAGAAUCUGCAUGCUUAGUGUCAACUUUGGACAUUGGGAUUGAUUGCGAGCGUUGGAGUUUGCAUGGCAACGAUCUGAAACAAACUUAAGCUGCGUUUACCUAUUGAGAUUCUGCAUGCCUAAUCGCAGCAUUCUUUAAAAGUUCCGAAAACACAGAUUUCGGACAUGGAAAAAAUGAACAGACUUAUGGUCUUAAUCACGUUACAUACAUGUUAAGGAAUUAAGUAGAACAUUAUAAAUACAUACGUAUUAUGACUGGCUGGCUAUUUCUACCAGACUGCUAUGACACAUUCUACUUGACCAUUUGAGGUGCUAUGUAGAGGUUGGAAAUGGUGAUAUUGAAAUGAUUUUGUAGAAUUGUUUUAAUAAUUUCUUGGUUUUUGUUUUUGGAAAUAAAUUGAUUAUGUGUAAAAAAGGGAA
This is a long non-coding RNA of Drosophila erecta, 611 nucleotides long. RefSeq lists it as uncharacterized. Lineage: Eukaryota; Metazoa; Arthropoda; Insecta; Diptera; Drosophilidae. The transcript is spliced from 2 exons. The record is from RefSeq and is a predicted model, not a curated record.